This 468-nucleotide ribosomal RNA is filed under the name uncultured bacterium. Its description in RNAcentral is "partial 16S ribosomal RNA". It matches the Rfam family "Bacterial small subunit ribosomal RNA", at positions 28 to 507 of the family's 1533-position model. The record is from RNAcentral.
GACGAACGCUGGCGGCGUGCUUAACACAUGCAAGUCGAACGGAAAGGCCCUGCUUUUGUGGGGUGCUCGAGUGGCGAACGGGUGAGUAACACGUGAGUAACCUGCCCUUGACUUUGGGAUAACUUCAGGAAACUGGGGCUAAUACCGGAUAGGAGCUCCUGCUGCAUGGUGGGGGUUGGAAAGUUUCGGCGGUUGGGGAUGGACUCGCGGCUUAUCAGCUUGUUGGUGGGGUAGUGGCUUACCAAGGCUUUGACGGGUAGCCGGCCUGAGAGGGUGACCGGCCACAUUGGGUCUGGGAUACGGCCCAGACUCCUACGGGAGGCAGCAGUGGGGAAUAUUGCACAAUGGGCGGAAGCCUGAUGCAGCAACGCCGCGUGCGGGAUGACGGCCUUCGGGUUGUAAACCGCUUUCGCCUGUGACGAAGCGUGAGUGACGGUAAUGGGUAAAGAAGCACCGGCUAACUACGUG